UCGCAAAUCAAGAGAGACAAAAUACAGGAUCGGUUACAGUUUUGCAGUCCUAAAGUUGACACAACAUUGCAAUUCGCAAACCCAACCCAAAGAACCGUAAACUCACUCUCUUUGUCACCUCCUUGUGAACUCUCCACUUUCAUAACUGCACGCUCUCUCCGGAACCGCCCGUAAGCUUGCCAUUUAGUUGCCUUUCGGUUUUCGAUCCCGUCGGCUCGCAGGUACAAAAGCACGGAGAAAUGGCUG
RNAcentral lists this long non-coding RNA (246 nucleotides) under Drosophila melanogaster (fruit fly). Its description in RNAcentral is "long non-coding RNA:CR45666 (Dmel_CR45666)". The record is from RNAcentral. Lineage: Eukaryota; Metazoa; Arthropoda; Insecta; Diptera; Drosophilidae.